RNAcentral lists this ribosomal RNA (2206 nucleotides) under Bacteroides ovatus str. 3725 D9 iii. Its description in RNAcentral is "bacterial LSU rRNA". It matches the Rfam family "Bacterial large subunit ribosomal RNA", at positions 14 to 2230 of the family's 2925-position model. The record is from RNAcentral. Lineage: Bacteria; Pseudomonadati; Bacteroidota; Bacteroidia; Bacteroidales; Bacteroidaceae.
AGGGCGCAUGGCGGAUGCCUUGGCUCUCGGAGGCGAUGAAGGACGUGAUAAGCUGCGAUAAGCUUCGGGCAGGUGCAAAUAACCUUUGAUCCGAAGAUUUCCGAAUGGGACAACCCGUCAUUCUGAAGGAAUGACAUCUUGCAUAGCAAGAGGCUAACGCAGGGAACUGAAACAUCUUAGUACCUGUAGGAAAAGAAAAUAAUAAUGAUUCCCCUAGUAGUGGCGAGCGAACGGGGAUUAGCCCAAACCAAUGUUGUUACGGCAAUAUUGGGGUUGUAGGACCACGAUGUCGCAAGAAAUUUAGUGAGAAGAAUUCUUUGGAAAAUGAAACCAUAGACGGUGAUAGUCCGGUAUUCGAAGCUAAAUGAAGCGUAGUGGUAUCCUGAGUAGCGCGGGACACGAGGAAUCUUGCGUGAAUCUGCCGGGACCAUCCGGUAAGGCUAAAUACUCCCGAGAGACCGAUAGCGAACCAGUACUGUGAAGGAAAGGUGAAAAGCACUUCGAAUAGAAGAGUGAAAUAGUCCCUGAAACCGUGCGCCUACAAGCGGUCGGAGCUGCUUCAGCAGUGACGGCGUGCCUUUUGCAUAAUGAACCUACGAGUUACUUUUUCCGGCAAGGUUAAGGAUCUUGAGAUCCGCAGCCGAAGCGAAAGCGAGUCUUAACAGGGCGAUUAGUCGGAAGGAGUAGACGCGAAACCAAGUGAUCUACCCUUGGUCAGGUUGAAGGUUAGGUAACACUAACUGGAGGACCGAACCGAUAAGCGUUGAAAAGCUUCCGGAUGAACUGAGGGUGGGGGUGAAAGGCUAAUCAAACUUGGAGAUAGCUCGUACUCCCCGAAAUGCAUUUAGGUGCAGCCUUGGGAAUUACUACUGUGAGGUAGAGCGACUGAUAAGAUGCGAGGGCUUCACCGCCUAUCAAGUCUUGAUAAACUCCGAAUGCGCAGUAGUUCGAUCCCAGGAGUGAGGGCAUGGGUGCUAAGGUCCAUGUCCUAAAGGAGAAGAAUCCAGACCAUCAGCUAAGGUCCCGAAAUAAUUGCUAAGUUGAACUAACGAAGUCAGAUUGCUAAGACAGCUAGGAUGUUGGCUUGGAAGCAGCCAUUCAUUUAAAGAGUGCGUAACAGCUCACUAGUCGAGGAGUUUGGCGUGGAUAAUAAUCGGGCAUCAAGCAAUUUACCGAAGCUAUGGGAUCAGUAAUGACUAAUCGGUAGGGGAGCAUUCCACUCUGCGUCGAAGGUGAAGCGUGAGCUUUGCUGGAGCGUGUGGAAAAGCAAAUGUAGGUAUAAGUAACGAUAAAGGGGGUGAGAACCCCCCUCGCCGAAAGACUAAGGUUUCCUGAUCAACGCUAAUCGGAUCAGGGUUAGUCGGGUCCUAAGGCUCAGCCGAACGGUGAGGCCGAUGGCAGAACAGGUUAAUAUUCCUGUACUACCUUAAGGAGUGACGUGGAGACGGAGGAGUGACAGCGCCGCGGACUGACGGAAUAGUCCGUUGAAGGGUGUAGAUGUUGAUUAUCCCAGGCAAAUCCGGGAUAAGAGUCGAACCUGAUAGUAUACCAAAUUCUUCGGAAUAAGGUAAUAGCGCGUGUAAGCAUACUCCCAAGAAAAUCCGCUAAACUUAAUCUUUAAGGUACCCGUACCGCAAACGGACACACGUAGUCGGGUUGAAUAUACUAAGGCGCUUGAGUGAUUCACGGUUAAGGAACUAGGCAAAUUGACCCUGUAACUUCGGGAUAAAGGGUCCCAACGAGAGUUGGGCGCAGAGAAUAGGUCCAGGCAACUGUUUAACAAAAACACAGGGCUGUGCCAAAUUGAAAGAUUACGUAUACAGCCUGACACCUGCCCGGUGCUGGAAGGUUAAGAGGAGAUGUCAUCGCAAGAGAAGCAUUGAAUUGAAGCCCCAGUAAACGGCGGCCGUAACUAUAACGGUCCUAAGGUAGCGAAAUUCCUUGUCGGGUAAGUUCCGACCUGCACGAAUGGUGUAAUGAUCUGGACACUGUCUCAACCGUGAGCUCAGUGAAAUUGUAGUAUCGGUGAAGAUGCCGAUUACCCGCGAUGGGACGAAAAGACCCCGUGAACCUUUACUAUAGCUUAACAUUGAAUUUGGGCAGACGAUGUGUAGGAUAGGCCGGAGGCUUUGAAGGGGGUAUGCCAGUAUCCUUUGAGGAGUCGCUGUUGAAAUACGGCCCUUUGAUUAUUUGAGUUCUAACUCGU